RNAcentral lists this non-coding RNA (143 nucleotides) under unclassified sequences. RNAcentral's name for it is "RT-14 RNA". It matches the Rfam family "RT-14 RNA". From Rfam's summary of the family: Cloacimonetes, Firmicutes, Proteobacteria. Nearby to self-splicing intron genes The record is from Rfam by way of RNAcentral.
CUCUACCUUCGUGGUCAGAUGUUAUAAACUCAAGGGUUUAUAUCCAGUACAGAAGGGUAAAGGAUCUUGUUUCCGUUGCGAUAGCAAAAAAAUACUAUUUAGCACAAGCCGAGAGUAUCGAUAUUGAGAAAUCCGCAGUGCUU